RNAcentral lists this ribosomal RNA (449 nucleotides) under uncultured bacterium. Its description in RNAcentral is "partial 16S ribosomal RNA". It matches the Rfam family "Bacterial small subunit ribosomal RNA", at positions 29 to 523 of the family's 1533-position model. The record is from RNAcentral.
AGCGAACGCUGGCGGCAAGCUUAACACAUGCAAGUCGAACGAUGUAGCAAUACAUAGUGGCGGACGGGUGUCAAACACGUGGGAAUCUGCCUUUAGGUACGGAAUAACUCAGGGAAACUUGGGCUAAUACCGUAUAAAAUCUCCGGAUCAAAGAUUUAUCGCCUAAAGAUGAGCCCGCGGUUGAUUAGCUAGUUGGUGGGGUAAUGGCCUACCAAGGCGACGAUCAAUAGCUGGUCUUAGAGGAUGAUCAGCCACACUGGGACUGAGACACGGCCCAGACUCCUACGGGAGGCAGCAGUGGGGAAUAUUGGGCAAUGGGCGAAAGCCUGACCCAGCUAUGCCGCGUGAGUGAUGAAGGACUUCGGGUUGUAAAGCUCUUUUAGGUGGGAAGAUAAUGACGGUACCACCAGAAAAAGCCCCGGCUAACUUCGUGCCAGCCGCCGCUGUAA